This 468-nucleotide ribosomal RNA is filed under the name uncultured bacterium. RNAcentral describes it as "partial 16S ribosomal RNA". It matches the Rfam family "Bacterial small subunit ribosomal RNA", at positions 28 to 507 of the family's 1533-position model. The record is from RNAcentral.
GACGAACGCUGGCGGCGUGCUUAACACAUGCAAGUCGAACGGAAAGGCCCUGCUUUUGUGGGGUGCUCGAGUGGCGAACGGGUGAGUAACACGUGAGUAACCUGCCCUUGACUUUGGGAUAACUUCAGGAAACUGGGGCUAAUACCUGAUAGGAGCUCCUGCUGCAGGGUGGGGGUUGGAAAGUUUGGGCGGGUGGGGAUGGACUCGCGGCUAAUGAGCUUGUUGGUGGGGUAGUGGCUUACCAAGGCUUUGAUGGGUAGUCGGCCUGAGAGGGUGACCGGCCACAUUGGGACUGAGGUACGGCCCAGACUCGUACGGGAGGCAGCAGUGGGGAAUAUUGCACAAUGGGCGGAAGCCUGAUGCAGCGACGCCGCGUGCGGGAUGACGGCCUUCGGGUUGUAAACCGCUUUCGCCUGUGACGGAGCGUGAGUGACGGUAAUGGGUAAAGAAGCACCGGCUAACUACGUG